GGACCUUUAGCUCAGUUGGUUAGAGCAGACGGCUCAUAACCGUCCGGUCGUUGGCUCGAGUCCAACAAGGUCCA
This 74-nucleotide transfer RNA is filed under the name Lactiplantibacillus plantarum. RNAcentral describes it as "Lactobacillus plantarum tRNA-Ile". It matches the Rfam family "tRNA". From Rfam's summary of the family: Transfer RNA (tRNA) molecules are approximately 80 nucleotides in length. Their secondary structure includes four short double-helical elements and three loops (D, anti-codon, and T loops). Lineage: Bacteria; Bacillati; Bacillota; Bacilli; Lactobacillales; Lactobacillaceae. The record is from RNAcentral.